UACGUAGGUGGCAAGCGUUAUCCGGAAUUACUGGGUGUAAAGGGCGUGUAGGCGGGAUAAUAAGUCAGAUGUGAAAUUCCGGGGCUCAACCUCGGAGCUGCAUCUGAAACUAUUGUUCUUGAGUGCUGGAGAGGAUAUCAGAAUUCCUGGUGUAGCGGUGGAAUGCGUAGAUAUCAGGAGGAAUACCGGUGGCGAAGGCGGGUAUCUGGACAGUAACUGACGCUGAGGCGCGAAAGCGUGGGGAUCAAACAGG
Molecule: ribosomal RNA, 253 nt
Filed under: uncultured bacterium
Lineage: Bacteria
Description: partial 16S ribosomal RNA
Rfam family: Bacterial small subunit ribosomal RNA
Source: RNAcentral